AUUAUGCAAAAAGGAAAUCUAAAUAAUUAAUGCUAGUCGACUCAGUAACAGUUGGACUCCACUUUCCAUAGUCUUUUCCCAUCAUCUGUCCAAUCUGUUCCCUUGGUAGCUGUUUCAUAUCCCCAUUACCUGCUAUCCUCUACAUUUCCUUCUUCACUUUGUAUUCUUCAAUCCGGAUCUCUGCUCUACCGUCCUUCCGGAAGAUCGUCUCUCCCUCGCACCAGGGAAUCCCCCAUAACUGUCACAGAGGGGAACUCCAUUUCACUCCUUAGUUUAACCGCCUGUAAAUCCGUAAGGGCUUCACAGCAAAUGGAGACUGAACAUUCCGGUGUAAAACUGUUUUCAUUGCCAUGAGUCGUCCGCCUCUGCCCCAGACCACCAGGCUGGAUGCCGACUUAAAAUUCCUACUAUCAAAUGCUGCGUCGAACUGAAUCGUCACGCUGGUUCUUCCCUCUUGAUACCUGUGACUACUACUCGGUUUUAAGGUACUUCCUUUCAUCCUCAACCCUUCGAGUUCAGCUAUGUAGUUUCAAACUUUAAGAGAUAAUUCCCUCCCUGUUUCUGUUUUCUGUUCAUGUAUGAAUUUAUUCCUUGAGUUCCAAAUAAACCACAUGCCACAACAGUAAAUCUUACAUUGCUCAGAGGUACUCGUUCUGAAAACCCAGGACAAUACCUAAAGAUGUGGGUGAUGUCUUCUUCCCCUCUUCCACAUCGAGGACAUGCCGCGUCAUUACUCACCCGUUUAUGUUUUAAAUUAGCUAGAGUUGGGAUAUAGUUCUAAGAUAUUCUCCAUAUUGUAAUUGCUAUAUUGGCAGGCAGUUGUAAAUUCCAUAGCUUGCCGUAGAAAUCCUUUAGAUUAGCUUAUAUUAAAUAAAAAUUAGGAUCCAAUCGAGCAUCUUGUAAUAGUUUGCAGGCGCCCCUUACUGAAAAAUCACCAGACUGCUCUCCCUUCCAUACUUUAAAAUCCUCGUGAGGUGUUUCUGCUGGUGGAAUUCGUAGAAUUUUCUGAGCAACAUCAACUGGAAAGAGAUAUUCUGGUUCCUCAUCCGACUCUCCAACACAACCUGUCCUGCAACAAUCGCUUAGCAGCCCAGACACUCUUCCAGGCGAGGGAACUGACCAGAAAACAGUCGUGUGGGUGCAAAAAUAGUAUUGGAUGACGUAGCUGCCUCCUAUCAGUCGAACAAACAAGAGAACCAAAAACAACAAAGACAAAAAUCUAAAAACGUGCCAAAGCGGCAGACAUCUGGCGUGCUAGGGUAGCAGGCCCAUAGGAGAAUUUUUUUUAAGGUUGAUGAUUAUUGUUAUUAUUAUUAAAUUUUAAUAAGAUUAUUAUGGAAAAUGAUUUAAUAAAAAUAUAA
Long non-coding RNA from Gossypium arboreum, 1361 nucleotides. RefSeq lists it as uncharacterized. Lineage: Eukaryota; Viridiplantae; Streptophyta; Magnoliopsida; Malvales; Malvaceae. The record is from RefSeq and is a predicted model, not a curated record. The transcript has 5 exons.